RNAcentral lists this ribosomal RNA (466 nucleotides) under uncultured bacterium. RNAcentral's name for it is "partial 16S ribosomal RNA". It matches the Rfam family "Bacterial small subunit ribosomal RNA", at positions 28 to 507 of the family's 1533-position model. The record is from RNAcentral.
GAUGAACGCUGGCGGCGUGCUUAACACAUGCAAGUCGAACGGAAAGGCUCCUGCUUGCAGGGGUACUCGAGUGGCGAACGGGUGAGUAACACGUGGGUGAUCUGCCCUGCACUUCGGGAUAAGCUUGGGAAACUGGGUCUAAUACCGGAUAGGACCGCAUUUUGGAUGGUGUGGUGGAAAGUUUUUUCGGUGUGGGAUGAGCUCGCGGCCUAUCAGCUUGUUGGUGGGGUAACGGCCUACCAAGGCGUCGACGGGUAGCCGGCCUGAGAGGGUGUACGGCCACAUUGGGACUGAGAUACGGCCCAGACUCCUACGGGAGGCAGCAGUGGGGAAUAUUGCACAAUGGGCGCAAGCCUGAUGCAGCGACGCCGCGUGGGGGAUGACGGCCUUCGGGUUGUAAACUCCUUUCGCUAGGGACGAAGAGUAAUUGACGGUACCUGGAGAAGAAGCACCGGCUAACUACGUG